RNAcentral lists this ribosomal RNA (301 nucleotides) under uncultured bacterium. RNAcentral describes it as "partial 16S ribosomal RNA". It matches the Rfam family "Bacterial small subunit ribosomal RNA", at positions 509 to 809 of the family's 1533-position model. The record is from RNAcentral.
CAGCAGCCGCGGGAAUACAGAGGUCCCGAGCGUUGUUCGGAUUCACUGGGCGUAAAGGGUGUGUAGGAGGUUGGAUAAGUCAGGUGUGAAAUCCCGCAGCUCAACUGCGGAACUGCAUUCGAUACUGUUCAACUAGAGGAUCGGAAGGGGAAGCGGAAUUCUUGGUGUAGCGGUGAAAUGCGUAGAUAUCAAGAGGAACACCGGUGGCGAAGGCGGCUUCCUGGAAGAUACCUGACUCUGAAACACGAAAGCCAGGGGAGCGAAUGGGAUUAGAGACCCCGGUAGUCCUGUCUCUUAUACA